This 489-nucleotide ribosomal RNA is filed under the name uncultured bacterium. Its description in RNAcentral is "SSU rRNA". It matches the Rfam family "Bacterial small subunit ribosomal RNA", at positions 26 to 507 of the family's 1533-position model. The record is from RNAcentral.
AGGACGAGCGCUGGCGGCGCGCUUAACGCAUGCAAGUCGAACGAGAUCCAUCCAGUAGCAAUACUGGUGAAGAUCGAGUGGCGAACGGGUGAGUAUCACGUGAGGAACCCACCCCGGAGACCGGGAUAACCCUCCGAAAGGAGAGCUAAUACCGGAUGUCCUCAUCGGAUCGCAUGUUCUGAUGAGGAAAUGGAUUCCGCUCCGGGACGGCCUCGCGGCCUAUCAGCUAGUUGGUGAGGUAACGGCCCACCAAGGCGACGACGGGUAGCUGGUCUGAGAGGACGAUCAGCCACACUGGGACUGAGACACGGCCCAGACUCCUACGGGAGGCAGCAGCGGGGAAUAUUGCACAAAUGGGCGAAAAGCCUGACGCAGCGACGCCGCGUGUGGGAUGAAGGUCUUCGGAUUGUAAAACCACUGUCGGGAGGGACGAAUGCGCCGCAAGGCGAGUGACGUACCUACCGAAAGGAAGCACCGGCUAACUCUGUG